Molecule: long non-coding RNA, 1143 nt
Filed under: Lonchura striata (white-rumped munia)
Lineage: Eukaryota; Metazoa; Chordata; Aves; Passeriformes; Estrildidae
Description: domestica (Bengalese finch) lncRNA (ENSLSDG00000006571.1)
Source: RNAcentral
AGUGGUGUAAUGUGUUUCGCGCUUUUCUCUCGAUCUGAGGGGGGGAUGUGGGGGGGGGCAAGGGGGGUGUUUUUUUAGAGCUGUGUGUGAUAAGCAGGGAAAGAACAGAACAUGGGAAUGCAAGUGUCAAGGGUUCACAGGGAAGCCCUCAUCACAGUUGCAGUCAGUUCCCAAACCACUUUACUGCAUUCCAGCCCAUCCUGGAGUUUUCUGUUUGCUCCAGACAAACCAAAACAGUUAAUCUUGCAGUCACAGCCUUAAAGAGGUCCAUGAGGUGGUGAAGGUCAUACAAUAUCAAAUUCAGAUACAUACUGAGAGUCCUCCAUGAGUGUUAUUCUGCCAUGCCAAAGCAUGGUUCAGAAGUGAAACCAGCAAAGCAAACACUCUGUAAGGUGCUGUAAGGGUGUGCCAGGCUCACUCACAGUCUCCACAGCACUGUGACACAUCUGGGCUGAGCACAGCCCCCUCCCUCUCUUACUGACACAGAGAUGGGUCAGGGGUUUGCAGUGCAUUCAGAGAGGUCACAGCACAGUGUGGUGACAGCAUCAAUGUGGGGUCAGAGAAUAGGAAGGAUGACUGAUGCAAGCAAGGGUGGCAGGGUGGGGAAUGAGAAAACAGAGCCUGGAAAGCUCUAAGAAGGCAGCCUUUUUUUUUCUGAUCAUCUACAGCACAGAGCAUAUUUUCAGACUAUUUGGAGUGGUCCAGUCAGGUAAGAUGUUCUCAUUGAAAGCUAUAUUGCUUGGAAAUGAGAAAGUCUGUGUUUGAAGAAAGACACAUUUUGUUUUUAUCUUGAUGUCCUAUUGUUUGUCAGACACUGACAAUGCUCAGUGCCAUGUGCCCAGCAUCCAUGCCUGGAAGGAAGGUGCACUCUGGUGAACAGUGGCACAGGGCUGUCAUCCUGGCUGCAGAGAAACAAAAGCUCCAGGAGGCACUGCUGUCAGGAGCAGAGGGGACAUGGAGCCUUCAGCUGUCACCCUCCAAGUGAAGCUUCCUAUUCACUCACCUCCUGCCAUCCAUCGGGGCUCCAGAUGUUCCCCCCUCCCUCUACUUGUCACUCAUGAGCCCCCAGGGAUGUUAAUGCCACACCCUCUCCCCUGCAGCAUGAACAAUAAAGCUCUGUUCUGAACUUGAUUUAGUAGGAAG